UACGUAGGUGGCGAACGUUAUCCGGAAUUACUGGGCGUAAAGGGUCCGCAGGCGGACGAGACAGUCUGGCGUGAAAGCUACCGGCUCAACUGGUAGAAGCCGUUGGAAACUACUCGUCUUGAAUCCGAUAGAGGUCGGUGGAAUUCCCGGUGUAGUGGUGGAAUGCGUAGAGAUCGGGAGGAACACCAAAAGCGAAGGCAGCCGGCUAGAUCAGGAUUGACGCUGAGGGACGAAAGCGUGGGGAGCAAACAGG
This 253-nucleotide unclassified non-coding RNA is filed under the name uncultured Anaerolineae bacterium. Its description in RNAcentral is "contains 16S-23S intergenic spacer region". It matches the Rfam family "Bacterial small subunit ribosomal RNA", at positions 524 to 776 of the family's 1533-position model. Lineage: Bacteria; Bacillati; Chloroflexota; Anaerolineae. The record is from RNAcentral.